RNAcentral lists this transfer RNA (75 nucleotides) under Candidatus Desulfovibrio gallistercoris. RNAcentral's name for it is "tRNA-Gln". It matches the Rfam family "tRNA". Rfam says of the family: Transfer RNA (tRNA) molecules are approximately 80 nucleotides in length. Their secondary structure includes four short double-helical elements and three loops (D, anti-codon, and T loops). Further hydrogen bonds mediate the characteristic L-shaped molecular structure. tRNAs have two regions of fundamental functional importance: the anti-codon, which is responsible for specific mRNA codon recognition, and the 3' end, to which the tRNAs corresponding amino acid is attached (by aminoacyl-tRNA synthetases). tRNAs cope with the degeneracy of the genetic code in two manners: having more than one tRNA (with a specific anti-codon) for a particular amino acid; and 'wobble' base-pairing, i.e. permitting non-standard base-pairing at the 3rd anti-codon position. RNAcentral also lists the same sequence under 1 other name. The record is from RNAcentral. Lineage: Bacteria; Pseudomonadati; Thermodesulfobacteriota; Desulfovibrionia; Desulfovibrionales; Desulfovibrionaceae.
UGGGAUGUCGCCAAGUGGUAAGGCAACGGGUUUUGGCUCCGUCACGCGAAGGUUCGAACCCUUCCAUCCCAGCCA